AAGUAUUAGAAGCCACAUUCUCCAAUAUCAGUUUUGUAAAGAAUAGAGCUGAUGCAUUUGGUCUCCAUCUGUCUAGAUUCUUUGUCUCAUCUCUCAGUGGGCUCAGAACUUAGAAUGGCAGGGUGCUCUUUUGGGGGCCACAUUGAACUCCAGUAGUGACAGUUAGAUCGGCCCUGAAGUCUGACAGUUAAAAGAAAAGGAAUGUCAGGCCAAUGCAAUGUAUCCAAAAUGGCGGCCUCCGAAGUUGAGAAACGGUGGGUGAACUUUCCUGGCACAGGGAACCAAAAACACAGAGGCUUAGAAGUGGGAAGGCACAAGAGUGUUUGAAGACUAUGAAACCCCGAAGCUGCUGGAAUGCUGGGUGAGGAAAGAGGGGUUGAGAAGAAGCUGGAGAAAUAGCCAGACCAAUUCACGCAGGGGUUGCAAGGCCACAGAAAAGUUUGCAUUGUAUUCUAAGUGCUAUAGGAAGCCGCUGAAGGAUCUUAAGCAGGGCAAUGAUGCGGGUUUAUUGACUCCUUCAGAAGUCAUUCUUUUAACUCUGUAGAGAAUGAUCUGGCUGUGGGCCUUGAGAAUAGACAAAGAGAGAACACUCAGGAGACUUUUGCACUAGUCCAGGGCAAGUCUAGAUGAUGCUAAUACAGACUAUGAUAGCCGGAAUGAACCACUAGAGGGAAAUCCUCAGAUGGGAAAGAUCACUGGGAGAGCGAAGCCCCAGAAUCUGCUGAUGAAUUGGAUGUCAGGGGAGAGGGAAGAACUGGGGAUGAAUCCUAAGUUCUGGCUUGAUGAAUGGAUGGAUGUUGAUGCCAUUGAUAGGGAUGUGAAGACAGGGAGGAGCCUGGGGAAGACCUUUACAUUUCAGGCAUUCUAAGACUUCUUAGAGGCAAGGUGGGGUAAGCAGUUGGAUACAGGAGCCGACACUCAGGGGGUCUUGAGGAACCUUGGCAUUGAGAGGCAUGUGUGGGAGGACACUCAUGCAGAGGGGACAAGUGACCACAUCCAUGUCAUCCUGCCUGGACAGUCAUUUGGCUAGAGGACACUAAUGACGCAGCUAUUGUGUAUUAUUCAGCAGGGCUUGGGGCUGGAUGAUAUAGACAGCUUCCUUUGGAAAAUUCUGUCUAGCAAGCCUAGCAUUAUAGAGGAUUAUUGCAUGAUUUCAUUUUGGGGAAAUUUUUAUAACUUCUAGGAUAUUUUUCCUUCUCUGUACCACAGGUAGUUGUCAAUCAUUUUCUCAUUGAGGGCAAAAGUCGUGGAAGGCUUUUUAUUCAUUAUAAUUAAUGUCCUUUGAGAAAAGACCCUUUAAUUAAUAUUCCUAUCGGGCACAGAGCUUUUUAAAGACCCAUUCCCUCCCUAACACACACACAGCUGUGUUUUAUAGUCUAAUUGUCACCUAGCCAAGGGACCCCACAGGGAUCUGCAAUUUGUCCCACCUCUGCCCUGCCACGCUUCCCUGCAGCACUCCUAACUGCUGAAUCCCGUUCAGCCCCAUGAAAGGGGUGGCCGAUAUUUAAAGUUCAUUUCAGGAAGGUUUCAUAAUAAGAACUGGGGAAAAUAACAUAAUCUCGUUUUAAAACAUUUCCUUCCUCUGUUCUGCUGAUAGAAUCAAACAAUCCAGAGUUCCAUCUGUCCUGUCACAGGUCCAGAUUUUAGGAUGUGGUUUUGAAGUUAUUUGUUUUCUUUGUUUCUGGGCCCCUCUGGUGGGAUUGCCUCCCCUUCUGGAUGGGCGCAGGCUGUACCACUUGACCCUUGGAUUUGCAAUUCCAGGAGGAAAAUAAUGAGCCAGCACUGUCGGAAAAUGUCACUCUGUCCCAGUGAUCAGUCUCUAAGACUGGAGAGGGAAGUCAAGCUUGAAACGGCAGAGUGGAUUUUCUCUUCGAGGAGCACUUUUACAGUUUUCAUAGGAAGCAGGUUGUUCUCCGGCACUGAGCGCCCCCCGAACGCUGGGCAAAAUGAAGCUGAAUUCACAGCUGCUGAGUUUCCCACGGGCCAACCACACCAUUGCUCCGAAAGACCUUGAAGUUCCCUCCUUCCACCUCCUCCACUUCUUACCUUCCUUCUUCCUCCCACACACUGACUUGGCCAGUCUCCAUCAGAGAUACUGUACUUUUUACAAAUGGAAGGUUUGUGGCAAUCCUGCAUGGAGCAAGCCUAUUGGUGCCGUUUUUCCAAGACCCAUGUGCUCACUUCGUGUCCCUGUGUCCCAUUUUGGUAAUUGUCACGGUAUUUUAAGCUUUUUCAUCAUCGUUAUAUCUGUAAUGGUGAUGUGCGAUCUCUGCUGUGACUAUCGUAAUUGUUUCGGGGCACCAAGAAUCGUGCUCAUAAAAUGGGGAACUUAAUCGAUAAAUGGUGUGUGUGUUCUGACUCUCCCACUGAUGGCUGCUCCCUGUCUGUCUCCCUCUCCUUACACCUGCCUAUUCCUGAGAUAUAAAAAAAUUGAAUCAGGCCAGUUAGUACCCUACGAUGGCCUCUAAGUGUUCAAGUGAAAGGAAGAGCGUUGCACAUCUGUCACUUUAAAUCGCAAGCUGGACAUGAUGAAGCGUAGUGAGGAAGGCAUGUCCAAAGCCAAGACAGGCUGAAAGCUAGGCCUCUUAAACCAGUUAGCUGAGUUAUGAAUGAAAAAAAGUUCAUGGGGCUGGGUGUGAUGGCUCAUGCCUGUAACCCCAGCAC
This is a long non-coding RNA of Chlorocebus sabaeus (green monkey), 2664 nucleotides long. RefSeq lists it as uncharacterized. The record is from RefSeq and is a predicted model, not a curated record. NCBI's taxonomy places the organism in Eukaryota, Metazoa, Chordata, Mammalia, Primates, Cercopithecidae.